Pocillopora damicornis (cauliflower coral) is the source of this 398-nucleotide long non-coding RNA. RefSeq lists it as uncharacterized. NCBI's taxonomy places the organism in Eukaryota, Metazoa, Cnidaria, Anthozoa, Scleractinia, Pocilloporidae. The record is from RefSeq and is a predicted model, not a curated record.
CUGCUGAACCACAGACAUGUUGCAGUGUCUAGUGUCAACUGAAUAGGGUUUAACUGAAUAAACAAGUUUGGAGUAGGCACUGAAAUGUGUUUGCAGAAUGUCCUGGACUUGAAGGAUGUGUUCUCCGGGAAUUUACGUAAGGAGAGGAAGGAGUGCUGGGUGGUGAAGGAUGUAAAGAACCAUCUCUGCCACUCACAUCAACAACAGAACCCUGGAAAAAUUUACAGAAAUUGCUCCUCAAUUAUGUGUUUUCAUCUGAUAGCAACCAUCAGACAUCUUAGUCAAACAAAGUUGUGCACAUAAAGUGUGACUGCACACUAUCAGUUGUUACCUAACUAGACACAUAUUUGCGUUCACCCAGGCUUUAUGUUGGAAAUAAAAUUUGUUUUUUGUGCUUG